This 450-nucleotide ribosomal RNA is filed under the name uncultured bacterium. Its description in RNAcentral is "bacterial SSU rRNA". It matches the Rfam family "Bacterial small subunit ribosomal RNA", at positions 354 to 796 of the family's 1533-position model. The record is from RNAcentral.
GUGGGGAAUAUUGGACAAUGGGCGCAAGCCUGAUCCAGCAAUGCCGCGUGCAGGAAGAAGGCCUUCGGGUUGUAAACUGCUUUUGUACGGAACGAAACGGUCCUGGCUAAUACCUGGGGCUAAUGACGAUACCGUAAGAAUAAGCACCGGCUAACUACGUGCCAGCAGCCGCGGUAAUACGUAGGGUGCAAGCGUUAAUCGGAAUUACUGGGCGUAAAGCGUGCGCAGGCGGUUUUGUAAGACAGGCGUGAAAUCCCCGGGCUCAACCUGGGAAUUGCGCUUGUGACUGCAAGGCUGGAGUGCGGCAGAGGGGGAUGGAAUUCCGCGUGUAGCAGUGAAAUGCGUAGAUAUGCGGAGGAACACCGAUGGCGAAGGCAAUCCCCUGGGCCUGCACUGACGCUCAUGCACGAAAGCGUGGGGAGCAAACAGGAUUAGAUACCCGAGUAGUCC